This 28-nucleotide small RNA is filed under the name Bombyx mori (domestic silkworm). Its description in RNAcentral is "ovarian small RNA-6361". The record is from RNAcentral. Lineage: Eukaryota; Metazoa; Arthropoda; Insecta; Lepidoptera; Bombycidae.
UAGCCUAGUGCGCAGCUUGACCGCCAGC